UCCUCUUUGGUCUGUUUGUAUCUCUUUUAUUUUCAGUCCCAUCAUUCUCUCAAGUACUUGUACUUGAAAUUUUAGAAAAAUAUUGAAAAAAAUCUGAUUUAUUAGCAAGAGGAAACAUCCAACUAAAUCUACUAAAGUCAUCACUAUAGAUACAUAAUAGCUAAAGUUAUGUAUAGAAGUAGAUGACGAUGGCCCCCAUAAGUCUACAUGUAGUAAUUGAACGCAGAAGUUCUGUGUGUUGAUAAACAACCCUAGAAAUGGUAGCUGGUGGGCUUUGAUGCCUUGUGGGUAGAUUAAACAAAAUGUAUUCUUCUCCUUUCCUUUUGUUAUGAAUUCAGAAACUAUUCUUUGUUGUACACCUUGUGAUGGGUUUCCUAACCUGUUGUACCAAAUUUCACUAGAAGCGCGCUUUACUCCAUAAAAAGCUUGAGCAUCUGUUAUCUUAUAAUACAACCCUCAAUGGCUAUGUUCAGAAAAUAACAUCACCAUAUAGUAUUGAGGUCUUUCACAGUAAAAGUAUCAUGUAUUUUCCCCCUCCUGCAUGCAAUUCUAGACUCUCUUUAUGAGUUUUUUUAGUUAUUCUCUACUUCCUACAAGAACAAACUGAUUACCUGGAAUUGCUUCAUAUGUUGAAAAAACUCCCAAAUCUGGAUUCAUAUGACUAGAUGCACCUGAAUCCAAACACCAGACUGAUUCAUUUUGAGAUGAAAAGUAGACAUAGCCAUCUCAGGUGGUACAGGGGUCAUGGUUAACUGUGAUCUGUAACUUCUAAAUUUUAGGAAGGUUGAACAUGAAUUGUAGUUGUUGUAUAUGAAGCAAAAUUUGAGGGCAUUGUUUAGCUAGGUGCACUUUCUUAUCACAUAUCUGGCAACCUUGAGCUUGGUCCAAAGAAUAAGUCAGUGUAGAAAUUAUAGAAGGUAGUUGUUGUUGGAUUAUUUUC
This 940-nucleotide long non-coding RNA is filed under the name Zostera marina. RNAcentral's name for it is "long non-coding RNA (ZMAR_LNC002331)". Lineage: Eukaryota; Viridiplantae; Streptophyta; Magnoliopsida; Alismatales; Zosteraceae. The record is from RNAcentral.